CCACUACAGAGGAAACAAUGAGCUCAACACAGAAGGACGAUCCUCAGCGCUUACACAGAUCCUCCAUCGAUGUUUUGGAUCCAAUCAGUGAUCAGUUCUACGAGGAGGCCUGGAUGUUCACCAGCGCUCGCUACACCUCCAUCUACCAGAAGGUUUUCCACUGUCGGCCAUCCAGCGAUGCUGGAGGGCUACCUGGCCAAUGCUGGCCUACACAAAGAGGUCCCGGCUCGGAGGAGCUGAAGAAGAUCCUUGCCUUCCUCGUCAGUUUCCUCUUCAGUUCCUAUCCCAACAAAACCUUCUUGCACCUAUUAGCUCCAAAGAGGCUAUGGUGCCCGUGGAGGUCUGGACCUGAGGCCUGUGCUCAUCACGUGGAUAGAAAACACUCUGACACCAUUCUGGAGGUCUGAUGGGACUCUGACCAAAACACAGAUGAAAUAAAACUUGUGGCUGGAGCUUUUAAAAUUACUUUUUCACCUCAUAGAUUAAUGCUCAUGAUUGCAUGUUAGCCAGACAGCAUCUCCCCAAGGUGAAACUCUCAGGAGACAUUUACUCUUAAACUGUAAUCUGGUUGAGACUACUUGAGGAGAUCUUAGUAGCGAGUAUGUGGAUUUAGUCUCUUCACCAACAGCAGACAGACCCAUGCCAAGAAAGCAGACAUGUUCUCAAAGAAAGCCGAGAGCAGAGAUUGGAAAAAGCUAAAAAGAAAAAGCUGCAGCUUCAGACGACUAUCUGCCUAUGUUGACUGUGACCUCAGAGGCCAACUGGACCACACAGCUGCAGCAGGAGUGAGGGAGAGGAGUCUUCAUCCAGCUUCAAAGAAAACAUCCAGUUAGAAACCCUGCAGCAACCCGACCCAAAACUGUGUCUUCUUGUUGGCCUCAACGUUGAAGUGUCAAACGUCCAACAUCUGGAAAGGAAACCACGCCAGUGUACUGUGAUGUUUCACCAACAUGUGGCAGACGCUGGUCCUGCCUUUCAUGCUGACAUCAGCAGAGAGCCCCGCCUACCUCAAAGCCUCCCCUGUCAUGUAUUGAUCAGGAUGAUUAUGAAGAUGAGCGAGUGCAAAUAAGACUGUAAAAGUCCACGAGCAGAAUGUUUGGAUGCUUUCUGAUGAUUCAUGAAUAUCAUGAGAGUGUUUGUGUGUUUUGUCUUUUCUUUGCUGACGUUUGUUACUAACAAAGACAAUUUACGCUCUGUGUGUGUUUUCAUCCUUACCAGCCGCACUCUAACUGCAAUGAAGGAAACAAACUGUAGAAAUGGUCGACUCAGUGACUUCAUAAAAUAUUGAAGUGGUUCAGGUAGAGCCAGUUUUUAAAUGACCAUGAACACUGAGCGUAUUGUAUCUGUACAGCAUGUUUUUCUAUUAGACAGAUUUGUAACAGAGGCCUUGCUCUCAGUAAGUUUGAAAUCCUUUUCUGAUUUCUUUUGUAAUCUCUGAUCUUUGUGUAUCCUGCUCAGUUUGCAUGCUGCCUGUAGGAGUUUCUGUCUUUGUAUUUGAAGAGAAUUCAUUGAAUAUACUCAGCUGCUUCCCUUUGGUGCCUCACACAUCACUGAAGUUUUUCAGU
This is a non-coding RNA of Maylandia zebra (zebra mbuna), 1565 nucleotides long. The record is from RefSeq and is a predicted model, not a curated record. NCBI's taxonomy places the organism in Eukaryota, Metazoa, Chordata, Actinopteri, Cichliformes, Cichlidae.